This is a long non-coding RNA of Rhincodon typus (whale shark), 413 nucleotides long. RefSeq lists it as uncharacterized. The transcript is spliced from 2 exons. Lineage: Eukaryota; Metazoa; Chordata; Chondrichthyes; Orectolobiformes; Rhincodontidae. The record is from RefSeq and is a predicted model, not a curated record.
AUUUGGUUGACCUUGAUAGAGAAAUAGAGACUCCACGUGAACCAAGGUAUUCUGCGAAUAAAGAAGACUGGACAAUCAUAGCUUACAAACCAUUCUUAGAUGUCACAAGGUGCAGAGCUGGGCACUGAGGAUUCCUACAAUCAACUGUGUUUUUCUAGACUGAUGGAACAGGUUUGAGCCACUGAGUGGCCGACUUAUGUUCCUGUAAGUGUGACAGCAGAGCUCACUCAAAAACGUACUUUCUAGGUAGCAUUAUUAGAUACUGGUCGGGAACAGGAAUGCUGGCUGAUUAACACAUACUUCAUAAAGUAAUUCAUUGGCUGUAAAAGUGCUUGGAGAUGUCGGGAGGUCACAGAAGGUGCUACUUAAACGCAAAGUCACCUUUUAUUAUCAAUAAACAUGCAUUUGUGUCA